Molecule: ribosomal RNA, 443 nt
Filed under: uncultured Thiobacillus sp.
Lineage: Bacteria; Pseudomonadati; Pseudomonadota; Betaproteobacteria; Nitrosomonadales; Thiobacillaceae
Description: bacterial SSU rRNA
Rfam family: Bacterial small subunit ribosomal RNA
Source: RNAcentral
UGGAUGAUGUGGAUUAAUUCGAUGCAACGCGAAAACCUUACCUACCCUUGACAUGUCCGGAAUCCUGCAGAGAUGCGGGAGUGCCGAAAGGGAAUCGGAACACAGGUGCUGCAUGGCUGUCGUCAGCUCGUGUCGUGAGAUGUUGGGUUAAGUCCCGCAACGAGCGCAACCCUUAUCAUUAGUUGCUACGCAAGGGCACUCUAAUGAGACUGCCGGUGACAAACCGGAGGAAGGUGGGGAUGACGUCAAGUCCUCAUGGCCCUUAUGGGUAGGGCUUCACACGUCAUACAAUGGUCGGUACAGAGGGUUGCCAAGCCGCGAGGUGGAGCCAAUCCCACAAAGCCGAUCGUAGUCCGGAUUGUUCUCUGCAACUCGAGAGCAUGAAGUCGGAAUCGCUAGUAAUCGCAGGUCAGCAUACUGCGGUGAAUACGUUCCCGGGUCUU